GGUUUAAUUCGUUGCUACAACGAAGAACCUUACUGGGUUUGACAUAUAAGUUGUAGGGAACUGAAAAGGGACCGACCCUUCGGGGAGCUUAUACAGGUGUUGCAUGGCUGUCGUCAGCUCGUGUCGUGAGAUGUUCGGUUAAGUCCGCUAACGAGCGCAACCCUCGCCGUAUGUUACAAGUGUCAUACGGGACUGCCGGUAAAAAGCCGGAGGAAGGUGAGGAUGAUGUCAAGUCAGCAUGACCUUUAUAUCCAGGGCUACACACACGCUACAAUGGUCUGUACAAUUGGUUGCCAAGCCGCGAGGCGGAGCCAAUCCGUAAAGCAGGCCUCAGUUCAGAUUGCAGUCUGCAACUCGACUGCAUGAAGCCGGAGUUGCUAGUAACCGCAGGUCAGCAAUACUGCGGUGAAUACGUUCCCGGGUCUU
This 426-nucleotide ribosomal RNA is filed under the name uncultured Anaerolineaceae bacterium. RNAcentral's name for it is "bacterial SSU rRNA". It matches the Rfam family "Bacterial small subunit ribosomal RNA", at positions 943 to 1382 of the family's 1533-position model. The record is from RNAcentral. Lineage: Bacteria; Bacillati; Chloroflexota; Anaerolineae; Anaerolineales; Anaerolineaceae.